This is a non-coding RNA of Vicia faba (fava bean), 285 nucleotides long. NCBI's taxonomy places the organism in Eukaryota, Viridiplantae, Streptophyta, Magnoliopsida, Fabales, Fabaceae. The record is from the annotation of a GenBank genome assembly.
AUGCUGAAAAGUUAUUUUGUGCCUGAUUCUGAUAAAGAUUUUUGGGUAAAGGCUGAAGUUUUUGAUGAGUACUUUGCAAUGAAUGAAGAAAGAAAUGCUACAGAAAAUGACAGGAGCCUGAAGAGCAAGACGAGAACAAAAAUGGGUAUGAAGGAAUUCAAAUGUACUGAAAUAAGGCCAGUAGUCAAUGGAGUCAACAUCACACUCACUCAGGAUAACAUUGCUCAAGUGAUAUGGAUUAAUAAUUCUGGGAUUGUCAAACCCAACUCAAACAAUGGGACAUAG